Molecule: ribosomal RNA, 1447 nt
Filed under: uncultured organism
Description: 16S ribosomal RNA
Rfam family: Bacterial small subunit ribosomal RNA
Source: RNAcentral
UCAGAUUGAACGCUGGCGGCAGGCCUAACACAUGCAAGUCGAACGGUAACAGGAAACAGCUUGCUGUUUCGCUGACGAGUGGCGGACGGGUGAGUAAUGUCUGGGAAACUGCCUGAUGGAGGGGGAUAACUACUGGAAACGGUAGCUAAUACCGCAUAACGUCGCAAGACCAAAGAGGGGGACCUUCGGGCCUCUUGCCAUCGGAUGUGCCCAGAUGGGAUUAGCUUGUUGGUGGGGUAACGGCUCACCAAGGCGACGAUCCCUAGCUGGUCUGAGAGGAUGACCAGCCACACUGGAACUGAGACACGGUCCAGACUCCUACGGGAGGCAGCAGUGGGGAAUAUUGCACAAUGGGCGCAAGCCUGAUGCAGCCAUGCCGCGUGUAUGAAGAAGGCCUUCGGGUUGUAAAGUACUUUCAGCGGGGAGGAAGGGAGUAAAGUUAAUACCUUUGCUCAUUGACGUUACCCGCAGAAGAAGCACCGGCUAACUCCGUGCCAGCAGCCGCGGUAAUACGGAGGGUGCAAGCGUUAAUCGGAAUUACUGGGCGUAAAGCGCACGCAGGCGGUUUGUUAAGUCAGAUGUGAAAUCCCCGGGCUCAACCUGGGAACUGCAUCUGAUACUGGCAAGCUUGAGUCUCGUAGAGGGGGGUAGAAUUCCAGGUGUAGCGGUGAAAUGCGUAGAGAUCUGGAGGAAUACCGGUGGGCGAAGGCGGCCCCCUGGACGAAGACUGACGCUCAGGUGCGAAAGCGUGGGGAGCAAACAGGAUUAGAUACCCUGGUAGUUCACGCCGUAAACGAUGUCGACUUGGAGGUUGUGCCCUUGAGGCGUGGCUUCCGGAGCUAACGCGUUAAGUCGACCGCCUGGGGAGUACGGCCGCAAGGUUAAAACUCAAAUGAAUUGACGGGGGCCCGCACAAGCGGUGGAGCAUGUGGUUUAAUUCGAUGCAACGCGAAGAACCUUACCUGGUCUUGACAUCCACAGAACUUUCCAGAGAUGGAUUGGUGCCUUCGGGAACUGUGAGACAGGUGCUGCAUGGCUGUCGUCAGCUCGUGUUGUGAAAUGUUGGGUUAAGCCCCGCAACGAGCGCAACCCUUAUCCUUUGUUGCCAGCGGUCCGGCCGGGAACUCAAAGGAGACUGCCAGUGAUAAACUGGAGGAAGGUGGGGAUGACGUCAAGUCAUCAUGGCCCUUACGACCAGGGCUACACACGUGCUACAAUGGCGCAUACAAAGAGAAGCGACCUCGCGAGAGCAAGCGGACCUCAUAAAGUGCGUCGUAGUCCGGAUUGGAGUCUGCAACUCGACUCCAUGAAGUCGGAAUCGCUAGUAAUCGUGGAUCAGAAUGCCACGGUGAAUACGUUCCCGGGCCUUGUACACACCGCCCGUCACACCAUGGGAGUGGGUUGCAAAAGAAGUAGGUAGCUUAACCUUCGGGAGGGCGCUUACCAC